GAGUUUGAUCCUGGCUCAGGACGAACGCUGGCGGCGUGCUUAACACAUGCAAGUCGAGGGCGGGGGGUAGCAAUACCUUCUGACCGGCAGACGGGUGCGUAACACGUGAGCGACCUACCGAGAUGUGGGGGAUAGCCGGCCCAACGGCCGGGUAAUACCGCGUACGUUCAUCGGGCUGCAUGGUCUGGUGAGGAAACCUGGGGAGUGAUCCUUGGGGCAUUUCGUGGGGCUCGCGGCCUAUCAGCUAGUUGGUGUGGUAACGGCGCACCAAGGCGACGACGGGUAGCUGGUCUGAGAGGAUGGCCAGCCACAUUGGGACUGAGAGACGGCCCACACUCCUACGGGAGGCAGCAGUGGGGAAUCUUGCGCAAUGGCCGAAAGGCUGACGCAGCGACGCCGCGUGUGGGAGGACGCCCUUCGGGGUGUAAACCACUGUUGCCCGGGACGAAUGGCUUGUUUAGGCGAGCUUGACGGUACCGGGUGAGGAAGCGCCGGCUAACUCCGUGCCAGCAGCCGCGGUAAUACGGAGGGCGCGAGCGUUGUCCGGAAUCACUGGGCGUAAAGGGCGCGUAGGCGGCUCGAUAAGGCUUGCGUGAAAGCCCGGGGCUCAACCCCGGGUCGGCGCGGGCGACUGUUGGGCUGGAGCACGGUAGGGGCAGACGGAAUUCCGGGUGUAGCGGUGGAAUGCGUAGAGAUCCGGAAGAACACCGGUGGCGAARGCGGUCUGCUGGGCCGGAAUGGGGGAGUUUGUUAACGCAAGCUCUCCCAGUGCUGACGCUGAGGCGGCGACAGCGUGGGGAGCAAACAGGAUUAGAUACCCUGGUAGUCCACGCCGUAAACGAUGGGCACUAGGUGCCCGGGGGAGCGACCCUCCGGGUGCCGGCGCUAACGCAUUAAGUGCCCCGCCUGGGGAGUACGGCCGCAAGGCUGAAACUCAAAGGAAUUGACGGGGGCCCGCACAAGCGGUGGAGCAUGUGGUUUAAUUCGACGCAACGCGAAGAACCUUACCUGGGCUUGACAUGCUGAGGCAACUCUUCUGAAAGGGAGAGCCUCCUUCGGGACCUCAGCACAGGUGCUGCAUGGCUGUCGUCAGCUCGUGUCGUGAGAUGUUGGGUUAAGUCCCGCAACGAGCGCAACCCCCGCCCCCAGUUGCCAGCGAGAGUCUUAAAACGCUCGUCGGGGACUCUGGGGGGACUGCCGGUGCCAAACCGGAGGAGGGUGGGGACGACGUCAAGUCAUCAUGGUCCUUACGUCCAGGGCCACACACGUGCUACAAUGGGCGGUACAGAGGGCCUGCGAGGCAGUGAUGCCGAGCCAAUCCCAGAAAGCCGCCCUCAGUGCGGAUCGGAGGCUGCAACUCGCCUCCGUGAAGCUGGAAUCGCUAGUAAUCGGGGAUCAGCCACGCCCCGGUGAAUACGUUCCCGGGCCUUGUACACACCGCCCGUCACGCCAUGGGAGCUGUGAGCGCCCGAAGUCGGUGUCGGAACCUGGGCAACCAGGGCUAAGCCGCCGAAGGCGAGCGCAGUGACUGGGGCGAAGUCGUAACAAGGUAGCCGUA
RNAcentral lists this ribosomal RNA (1558 nucleotides) under uncultured bacterium. Its description in RNAcentral is "bacterial SSU rRNA". It matches the Rfam family "Bacterial small subunit ribosomal RNA". The record is from RNAcentral.